Molecule: ribosomal RNA, 446 nt
Filed under: uncultured bacterium
Lineage: Bacteria
Description: bacterial SSU rRNA
Rfam family: Bacterial small subunit ribosomal RNA
Source: RNAcentral
GAUGAACGCUAGCUACAGGCUUAACACAUGCAAGUCGAGGGGCAGCAUGAUUGAAGCUUGCUUCAAUUGAUGGCGACCGGCGCACGGGUGAGUAACACGUAUCCAACCUUCCGUACACUCAGGGAUAGCCUUUCGAAAGAAAGAUUAAUACCUGAUGGUAUCUUAAGCACACAUGUAAUUAAGAUUAAAGAUUUAUCGGUGUACGAUGGGGAUGCGUUCCAUUAGGUAGUAGGCGGGGUAACGGCCCACCUAGCCUACGAUGGACAGGGGUUCUGAGAGGAAGGUCCCCCACAUUGGAACUGAGACACGGUCCAAACUCCUACGGGAGGCAGCAGUGAGGAAUAUUGGUCAAUGGACGAGAGUCUGAACCAGCCAAGUAGCGUGAAGGAUGAAGGGUCCUACGGAUUGUAAACUUCUUUUAUAAGGGAAUAAAAACCUCCCACGUG